GGAUUCUCUAUUUCCUUUGCCCUUCUCCAGCCCAGGCCCUACCCUGACUCCAGGUGUAUGACUUUACAUUUGACUGCAAGGAGUUCGAGUGACAGAGCAUCCACCAUAUCCUUAGCUUGUAUGAUUUGAUGAGCUAUCCUGAGUGAAGCAAAUGAAAAUAGGAAAUACAGAAGAAUAAGUGUCAACAGCCAGGAGUGAGCCAGAAGAGGAAUGUACUAAUGAUGCUGCUAAUUCUCAUGGGAGCUUUGGCUUCUGCUACUAUUGUGCCACUAGUAUUUAAUAACUAUAACAAGGAAACUUUGGUGUUUGACAUUUAUGAAAAAUAAUGGUCUCUAGAUUCAGGUCCAAGUGUCUGACAUAAAAAUAAACAUUUCCUCAAUGUAGUUAAUAGGAAUAAGUACAGGCAUGGGUUCUGUAAUGAUGUCAGUACGGGGUGGUAGCAGUGGAGACUAUUAAUUAACAGAUCAGCCUGGUUAGUCGAGCAGCCUUUCAGUGAGAGUAAAUAAAACCGGGGCUGUGUUUAGCAUCUACAUAAAACAACACAGGAAACACAAAAGAAAGAGAUGGGCAUGAAUCUGAACAGACCUCAAUUUGGGGCUGAUGUGUAUAGCUCAGGCUCAUCUCUAAAAAACCAUGUCUACUAGCUUUUAAACUCAAUUGCUUUCAUUCAGAUUGUUGUUUUGCAGGUGAACUUAUUCUUAUGCUUUUGCCUUAAUUAAACAAUAUCAAAAUUGU
Chelonia mydas (Green sea turtle) is the source of this 735-nucleotide long non-coding RNA. RefSeq lists it as uncharacterized. Lineage: Eukaryota; Metazoa; Chordata; Testudines; Cheloniidae. The transcript is spliced from 3 exons. The record is from RefSeq and is a predicted model, not a curated record.